CCUACGGGAGGCAGCAGUAGGGAAUAUUGCUCAAUGGGGGAAACCCUGAAGCAGCAACGUCGCGUGGAGGAUGCAGGUCCUCCGAUUUUUAACUCCUUUUUUUAGAGGAGUUAAUGACGUUAUCUAUCGAAUAUUCACAGUCUAACUUCGUGCCAGCAGCCCUGGUUACACGGAGGGUGCAAGCUUUACCCGGAAUCACUGGGCGUAAAGGGCGCGUAGUCGGGAUAGCAAGUCAGAUGUGAAAUCCUAUGGCUUAACCAUAGAACUGCAUUUUAAACUGUUCUUCUAGAGUAUGGGGAAGGUAGGUGGAAUUCUUGGUGUAGGGGUAAAAUCCGUAGAGAUCACGAAGAAUACUGAUUGCGAAGGCAGCCUGCUAGAACAUAACUGACGCUGAUGCGCGAAAGCGUGGGGAGCAAACAGGAUUAGAUACCCGUGUAGUC
This 440-nucleotide ribosomal RNA is filed under the name uncultured bacterium. RNAcentral's name for it is "partial 16S ribosomal RNA". It matches the Rfam family "Bacterial small subunit ribosomal RNA", at positions 338 to 795 of the family's 1533-position model. The record is from RNAcentral.